UUGGAGGGCAAGUCUGGUGCCAGCAGCCGCGGUAAUUCCAGCUCCAAUAGCGUAUAUUAAAGUUGUUGCAGUUAAAAAGCUCGUAGUUGAAUUUCGGGAUUGACGUAAUGGUCGUGCCUUAAGGGGUAUGAACUGUUACUGUUGAUUUCUCACCUUCUGGAGAAACUUGAUGUCCUUAAUUGGGUGUCUUGCGGAUCCAGGACCUUUACCUUGAAAAAAUUAGAGUGUUUAAAGCAGGCAUUUUUGCUCGAAUACAUUAGCAUGGAAUAAUAGAAUAGGACGGCAUGGUUCUAUUUUGUUGGUUUCUAGGAUCACCGUAAUGAUUAAUAGGGAUAGUUGGGGGCAUUAGUAUUCAAUUGUCAGAGGUGAAAUUCUUGGACUUAUUGAAGACUAACUACUGCGAAAGCAUUUGCCAAGGAUGUUUUCAUUAAUCAAGAACGAAAGUUAGGGGAUCGAAGACGAUCAGAUACCGUCGUAGUCUUAACCAUAAACUAUGCCGACUAGGAAUCAGACGAUGUUAAUUUUUUAAUGACUCGUUUGGCACCUUACGGGAAACCAAAGUGUUUGGGUUC
Molecule: ribosomal RNA, 572 nt
Filed under: uncultured Glomeromycotina
Lineage: Eukaryota; Fungi; Glomeromycota
Description: SSU rRNA
Rfam family: Eukaryotic small subunit ribosomal RNA
Source: RNAcentral